This 529-nucleotide ribosomal RNA is filed under the name uncultured bacterium. RNAcentral's name for it is "bacterial SSU rRNA". It matches the Rfam family "Bacterial small subunit ribosomal RNA", at positions 9 to 526 of the family's 1533-position model. The record is from RNAcentral.
GAGUUUGAUCCUGGCUCAGGAUGAACGCUAGCGACAGGCUUAACACAUGCAAGUCGAGGGGCAGCAUGAUUUGUAGCAAUACAGAUUGAUGGCGACCGGCGCACGGGUGAGUAACGCGUAUGCAACUUACCUAUCAGAGGGGGAUAGCCCGGCGAAAGUCGGAUUAAUACCCCAUAAAACAGGGGUCCCGCAUGGGAAUAUUUGUUAAAGAUUCAUCGCUGAUAGAUAGGCAUGCGUUCCAUUAGGCAGUUGGCGGGGUAACGGCCCACCAAACCGACGAUGGAUAGGGGUUCUGAGAGGAAGGUCCCCCACAUUGGUACUGAGACACGGACCAAACUCCUACGGGAGGCAGCAGUGAGGAAUAUUGGUCAAUGGGCGAGAGCCUGAACCAGCCAAGUAGCGUGAAGGAAGAAUGCCCUAUGGGUUGUAAACUUCUUUUAUAAGGGAAUAAAGUGGGGGAUGCGUACCUUUUUGCAUGUACUUUAUGAAUAAGGAUCGGCUAACUCCGUGCCAGCCGCCGCGGUAAUUC